This 121-nucleotide small RNA is filed under the name Escherichia coli. RNAcentral describes it as "RtT sRNA". It matches the Rfam family "RtT RNA". Rfam says of the family: This family represents a bacterial cis-regulatory element known as RtT RNA. The exact function of RtT is unknown although it is thought that it may be involved in changing the cellular response in relation to amino acid starvation. The record is from RNAcentral. Lineage: Bacteria; Pseudomonadati; Pseudomonadota; Gammaproteobacteria; Enterobacterales; Enterobacteriaceae.
ACCAUCUACAUUUCAAAGAAGCGACCAAGGUUCGACUCGAGCGCCAGCGAGAGAGCGUUGCCACAGGCAACGACCCGUAGGGCGAAGCGCGCAGCGCUGAGUAAUCCUUCCCCCACCACCA